RNAcentral lists this ribosomal RNA (640 nucleotides) under type II methanotroph AML-A14. RNAcentral describes it as "bacterial SSU rRNA". It matches the Rfam family "Bacterial small subunit ribosomal RNA", at positions 46 to 732 of the family's 1533-position model. Lineage: Bacteria; Pseudomonadati; Pseudomonadota; Alphaproteobacteria; Hyphomicrobiales; Methylocystaceae. The record is from RNAcentral.
GCCUAACACAUGCAAGUCGAACGCUGUAGCAAUACAGAGUGGCAGACGGGUGAGUAACGCGUGGGAACGUGCCUUUCGGUUCGGAAUAACUCAGGGAAACUUGAGCUAAUACCGGAUACGCCCUUCGGGGGAAAGAUUUAUUGCCGAAAGAUCGGCCCGCGUCCGAUUAGCUAGUUGGUGUGGUAAUGGCGCACCAAGGCGACGAUCGGUAGCUGGUCUGAGAGGAUGAUCAGCCACACUGGGACUGAGACACGGCCCAGACUCCUACGGGAGGCAGCAGUGGGGAAUAUUGGACAAUGGGCGCAAGCCUGAUCCAGCCAUGCCGCGUGAGUGAUGAAGGCCCUAGGGUUGUAAAGCUCUUUCGCCAGGGACGAUAAUGACGGUACCUGGAUAAGAAGCCCCGGCUAACUUCGUGCCAGCAGCCGCGGUAAUACGAAGGGGGCUAGCGUUGUUCGGAAUCACUGGGCGUAAAGCGCACGUAGGCGGAUCUUUAAGUCAGGGGUGAAAUCCCGAGGCUCAACCUCGGAACUGCCUUUGAUACUGGAGGUCUCGAGUCCGGGAGAGGUGAGUGGAACUGCGAGUGUAGAGGUGAAAUUCGUAGAUAUUCGCAAGAACACCAGUGGCGAAGGCGGCUCACUGG